GGGGUAAUGGCGCAGCUGGGAGUCGUGUUAGUCUGAAGAACAGAGGUCACCGGUUCGAUCCCGGUUUACCCCA
RNAcentral lists this transfer RNA (73 nucleotides) under Phaeoacremonium minimum UCRPA7. RNAcentral describes it as "tRNA-Phe (GAA) (tRNA-Phe-GAA-2-1)". It matches the Rfam family "tRNA". From Rfam's summary of the family: Transfer RNA (tRNA) molecules are approximately 80 nucleotides in length. Their secondary structure includes four short double-helical elements and three loops (D, anti-codon, and T loops). Further hydrogen bonds mediate the characteristic L-shaped molecular structure. tRNAs have two regions of fundamental functional importance: the anti-codon, which is responsible for specific mRNA codon recognition, and the 3' end, to which the tRNAs corresponding amino acid is attached (by aminoacyl-tRNA synthetases). tRNAs cope with the degeneracy of the genetic code in two manners: having more than one tRNA (with a specific anti-codon) for a particular amino acid; and 'wobble' base-pairing, i.e. permitting non-standard base-pairing at the 3rd anti-codon position. Lineage: Eukaryota; Fungi; Ascomycota; Sordariomycetes; Togniniales; Togniniaceae. The record is from RNAcentral.